RNAcentral lists this long non-coding RNA (485 nucleotides) under Homo sapiens (human). RNAcentral describes it as "non-protein coding lnc-WRNIP1-10:1". Lineage: Eukaryota; Metazoa; Chordata; Mammalia; Primates; Hominidae. The record is from RNAcentral.
AGACUGAUGAUGGUAUUCUUUGUCAUUCUUUAUCAACCUCUAAUGUAAUUGUGAAGGAUGUUCUUCCUGGGCAUACAAUAAUUCUAGGUUGGCCAGGUAUUUAGAUUUUGUUUUUUCCAACAUAUUGAGAGAAUCAUCCUAUGGUUUUCUGGCUUUUAUUAUUUCUGUUGACAUAUGUGUUGACAUUGUAAUCGCUGCCUCUUUAAAGGUACUUUGGCCUUUUCUUCGGUUGCUUUCAUUUUAUGAUUUUUCCCUUAGUCUUUGGAUGAGUGCAGUUUAACUAGGAUAUGUCUGGAGAUGGAUUUCUUUGUAUUUUCCUACUUGGGGUUUGAGUAGCGUUUCCAAACUCUGUGAAUUGACAUUCUUUAUCUGUUUUAGUAUAAACAUUUGAAUGUUAGAUUUUAAAAUAUGAUUCUGAUGCCAGGUGUGGUGGCUCAUGCCUGUAAUCCCAGCACUUUGGGUGGCCAAAGUGGGAGGAUCACUUG